AGAGUUUGAUUAUGGCUCAGAACGAACGCUGGCGGCAGGCCUAACACAUGCAAGUCGAACGAUAUAGUGGCAGACGGGUGAGUAACGCGUGGGAACGUACCUUUCACUACGGAAUAGCUCUGGGAAACUGGUGGUAAUACCGUAUACGCCCUUAGGGGGAAAGAUUUAUCGGUGAAAGAUCGGCCCGCGUUGGAUUAGCUAGUUGGUGAGGUAAUGGCUCACAAAGGCGACGAUCCAUAGCUGGUCUGAGAGGAUGAUCAGCCACACUGGGACUGAGACACGGCCCAGACUCCUACGGGAGGCAGCAGUGGGGAAUCUUGCACAAUGGGCGAAAGCCUGAUGCAGCCAUGCCGCGUGAAUGAUGAAGGCCUUAGGGUUGUAAAAUUCUUUCGUCAGGGAUGAUAAUGACCGUACCUGAAGAAGAAGCCCCGGCUAACUUCGUGCCAGCAGCCGCGGUAAUACGGAGGGGGCUAGCGUCGUUCGGAAUUACUGGGCGUAAAGCGCACGUAGGCGGACUUUUAAGUCAGGUGUGAAAUCCCGGGGCUCAACCUCGGAACUGCAUUUGAAACUGGAAGUCUGGAGAUCAGGAGAGGUUAGCGGAAUACCGAGUGUAGAGGUGAAAUUCGUAGAUAUUCGGUGGAACACCAGUGGCGAAGGCGGCUAACUGGACUGAUACUGACGCUGAGGUGCGAAAGUGUGGGGAGCAAACAGGAUUAGAUACCCUGGUAGUC
This 731-nucleotide ribosomal RNA is filed under the name uncultured Hyphomonas sp. Its description in RNAcentral is "bacterial SSU rRNA". It matches the Rfam family "Bacterial small subunit ribosomal RNA", at positions 8 to 795 of the family's 1533-position model. The record is from RNAcentral. Lineage: Bacteria; Pseudomonadati; Pseudomonadota; Alphaproteobacteria; Hyphomonadales; Hyphomonadaceae.